RNAcentral lists this ribosomal RNA (473 nucleotides) under uncultured Actinomycetes bacterium. RNAcentral's name for it is "bacterial SSU rRNA". It matches the Rfam family "Bacterial small subunit ribosomal RNA", at positions 49 to 544 of the family's 1533-position model. Lineage: Bacteria; Bacillati; Actinomycetota; Actinomycetes. The record is from RNAcentral.
CUACCAUGCAGUCGACGAGGUCCAUCCUUCGGGAGAGACCUAGUGGCGAACGGGUGAGUAACACGUGAGGAACCUGCCCCGGAGACCGGGAUAACCACCUGAAAGGUGGCUAAUACCGGAUGUCCCCAUCCCACCGCAUGGAGGGAUGAGGAAAUGGAUUCCGCUCCGGGAGGGCCUCGCGGCCUAUCAGCUAGUUGGUGAGGUAACGGCUCACCAAGGCAUCGACGGGUAGCUGGUCUGAGAGGAUGAUCAGCCACACUGGGACUGAGACACGGCCCAGACUCCUACGGGAGGCAGCAGUGGGGAAUCUUGCGCAAUGGGCGAAAGCCUGACGCAGCAACGCCGCGUGGGGGAUGAAGGCUCUCGGGUUGUAAACCCCUUUCAGCAGGGACGAAUUUUGACGGUACCUGCAGAAGAAGCCCCGGCUAACUACGUGCCAGCAGCCGCGGUAACACGUAGGGGGCAAGCGUUGU